Molecule: ribosomal RNA, 253 nt
Filed under: uncultured bacterium
Lineage: Bacteria
Description: partial 16S ribosomal RNA
Rfam family: Bacterial small subunit ribosomal RNA
Source: RNAcentral
UACAGAGGUCUCGAGCGUUAAUCGGAGUCACUGGGCUUAAAGGGUGCGUAGGCGGGUCUGUAAGUGUCUUGUGAAAUCCCACAGCUCAACUGUGGAAUUGCUCGAUAGACUAUGGACCUUGAGGUUGGUAGGGGUCGCUGGAACUCUAGGUGGAGCGGUGAAAUGCGUAGAUAUCUAGAGGAACGCCGAAGGUGAAGACAAGCGACUGGGCCAAUUCUGACGCUGAGGCACGAAAGCGUGGGGAGCAAACAGG